RNAcentral lists this ribosomal RNA (450 nucleotides) under uncultured bacterium. RNAcentral's name for it is "partial 16S ribosomal RNA". It matches the Rfam family "Bacterial small subunit ribosomal RNA", at positions 354 to 796 of the family's 1533-position model. The record is from RNAcentral.
GUGGGGAAUCUUCCGCAAUGGACGAAAGUCUGACGGAGCAACGCCGCGUGAGUGAAGAAGGUUUUCGGAUCGUAAAGCUCUUUCGUUAGGGACGAACGUGCUCUUUGUGAAUAAUGAGGAGUAAUGACGGUACCUAAAUAAGAAGCCACGGCUAACUACGUGCCAGCAGCCGCGGUAAUACGUAGGUGGCAAGCGUUGUCCGGAAUGAUUGGGCGUGAAGCGCGCGCAGGCGGGAUAUCAAGUCUGUCUUAAAAGUGCGAGGCUCAACCUCGUGAGGGGACAGAAACUGGUAUUCUUGAGUGUCGGAGAGGAAAGUGGAAUUCCAAGUGUAGCGGUGAAAUGCGUAGAGAUUUGGAAGAACACCAGUGGCGAAGGCGACUUUCUGGACGAUGUCUGACGCUGAGGCGCGAAAGCUAGGGGAGCGAACGGGAUUAGAAACCCCAGUAGUCC